GAUAAACGCUGGCGGCGUGCAUGAGACAUGCAAGUCGAACGAGUGUUUCCGGGCUUGCCUGGGAACGCUAGUGGCGAACGGCUGAGUAACGCGUGGGUGACCUGCCAUGAAGUGGGGAAUAACUGCCCGAAAGGGUGGCUAAUACCGCAUGUGGUGACACGUUCGUUCGUGUGACCAAAGCCGCAAGGCGCUUCGGGAGGGGCCCGCGUCCGAUUAGCUCGUUGGUGGGGUAACGGCUCACCAAGGCGACGAUCGGUAGGUGGUCUGAGAGGACGAUCACCCAGACUGGGACUGAGACACGGCCCAGACUCCUACGGGUGGCUG
RNAcentral lists this ribosomal RNA (324 nucleotides) under uncultured Chloroflexota bacterium. Its description in RNAcentral is "bacterial SSU rRNA". It matches the Rfam family "Bacterial small subunit ribosomal RNA", at positions 28 to 351 of the family's 1533-position model. The record is from RNAcentral. Lineage: Bacteria; Bacillati; Chloroflexota.